This 693-nucleotide ribosomal RNA is filed under the name Pocobletus sp. CR02. RNAcentral's name for it is "partial large subunit ribosomal RNA". The record is from RNAcentral. Lineage: Eukaryota; Metazoa; Arthropoda; Arachnida; Araneae; Linyphiidae.
CGCGACGGGGCCGCUCCGGUGUGGCGCUUUUUGCUCGUCCGACGCAUUUGUUUCCCGSCCYUGAGGACGCCGCAACCGGUUGGCGUGAUGGCCUUAAGGGCGCGAGCUGGCAGUUGGCCGGCGAGUGCGCUUCGUGUGCAUUUGCCGGUCUUUAGCUUUCGCGUCGCACGGCACGUCCGCCGACCGUGGCAAUAAGGAUGCCCUGAUGGGCUUCGACGUCUCCUCCAUAACUGACGCGGGUGAAGAAGCAUGUCAGGGGUUCGACCGCAAUCUGCUGGGCGCACGGACUGACUCCGUGGCCGCGGCGCUCGGUCGUCCUCGUUGGUCGUGCAAGGUCCGCGGGAGUGCAUGACGGUUUGCGGCGAGUAGGUCGGUCACCCACCCGUCCCGUCUUGAAACACGGACCAAGGAGUUUAACAUGUGUGCGAGUCAAUGGGUCUCGAAUAAGCCCAAAGGCGCAAUGAAAGCAAAGGUCGGAAUGACUCCGGCUGAGUUGGGAUCCCUGCUCCUCUGUCGGGCGGGGCGCACCAACGACCCGUCCUUUUCCACUUGUGGAUUGGGCGGAGUUUGAGCACACACGUUAUGACCCGAAAGGUGAUGAACUAUGCCCGGGCAGGACGAAGCCAGAGAAACUCUGGUGRAAGGUCCGUAGCGGUUCUGACGUGCAAAUCGAAYCGUCAGAUCCAGUAUAGG